Molecule: small RNA, 1006 nt
Filed under: Histoplasma ohiense
Lineage: Eukaryota; Fungi; Ascomycota; Eurotiomycetes; Onygenales; Ajellomycetaceae
Description: hypothetical lncRNA
Source: RNAcentral
GACUAUGAUUUUGACUGAGGUUUGGUCCUGUUCUGAUGAUUAUAUAAUACAUAUCUUAGAUAUCAAUCUGAUGAUAUGAUUGGUGGAGAUAUCACCUCUAUCUAGUGCUGUCAACCAAUUUACCUCUGUCAAUCUAUCUACUGCUGCUAAGCUAUCGCUGCCAACCUAUCUAUCGCUGCCAACCUAUCUAUCGCUGCCAAUUUAUCUACCACUGCCAAUCUAUCUAUUGCUGCUAAUCUAUCGCUGCUGUCAAUCUAUCUAUCGCUGCUAAUCUAUCUAUCGCUGCUAAUCUAUCGCCGCUGCCAAUCUAUCCCUCACUGCUAAGCUAUCCCUCGCUGCUAAGCUAUCCCUCACUACUAAGCUAUCUAUCACUGCUAAUCUAUCGCUGCCAACCUAUCUAUCACUGCCAAUCUAUCUAUCGCUGCUAAUCUAUCGCUGCUAAUCUAUCGCUGCUAAUCUAUCGCUGCUGCCAAUCUAUCUAUCGCUGCUAAUCUAUCGCCGCUGCCAAUCUAUCCCUCGCUGCUAAGCUAUCCCUCGCUGCUAAGCUAUCCCUCGCUGCUAAGCUAUCCCUCACUGCUAAGCUAUCCCUCGCUGCUAAUCUAUCGCUGCCAACCUAUCUAUCACUGCCAAUCUAUCUAUCGCUGCUAAUCUAUCGCUGCUAAUCUAUCGCUGCUAAUCUAUCGCUGCUAAUCUAUCGCUGCCAACCUAUCUACCGCGGCGAAUCUAUCUAUCACUAUCAUUACUAGUUCAAAAUAGAACUAGAGCAUAAAUACACUAAACUUCUUUUGAUAGGUAAUGAUUUUUGGUAACGCUCAUAGCAUUAUAUCAUCUAUAUAGGGUAAAUCAUGGUCCCAUUUGGUCUCAUUUUAACAAAAUGGGACCAAAUGCGACCAGAAUCAGUAAUUUAUAAGAAGAACAUGACCUGAGACUAGAUUUAUAAUAUAAACAGUGUAAAGUGACUAAUUUAAUAAACACUAUAUGAGACCAGAACUAAGAAAUUUGAUAA